UGCUUUCACAAAGAAGUUUUGGAAAUUCACACUUUCCUCCCUUGCUGCUUGAUUUUCCCCUGGGUGGAAACCUUUGGUAUCCGAAAGGGCCAGGGCCAGAAAGUUACUGAAAACUCAAGCUUUGACCACCUGCACAAGGUAUACCAAAGGUGCCCAGGGUCAGAUGGUUUGGCACCACUCCAGUCACCUCCAUCAAGCAAAAUAAGCAAGGUGCAGUCUCACUAUGUUGCCUAGGCUGGACUUGAACUCCUGGGAUCAAGGGAUUUUCCUGCCCCAGUCUCUCCAGUAGCUGGGACUACAGGUAUAUGCUACCACAUCCGGCUAACCUCCCUAUUUUUAACACUUAUCAUAAGCAAUACUCGUGAUAAUCAGGCAA
Sapajus apella (tufted capuchin) is the source of this 376-nucleotide long non-coding RNA. RefSeq lists it as uncharacterized. Lineage: Eukaryota; Metazoa; Chordata; Mammalia; Primates; Cebidae. The transcript is spliced from 3 exons. The record is from RefSeq and is a predicted model, not a curated record.